RNAcentral lists this ribosomal RNA (498 nucleotides) under uncultured bacterium. Its description in RNAcentral is "partial 16S ribosomal RNA". It matches the Rfam family "Bacterial small subunit ribosomal RNA", at positions 30 to 523 of the family's 1533-position model. The record is from RNAcentral.
AUUGAACGCUGGCGGCAUGCCUUACACAUGCAAGUCGAACGGUAACAGGUCUUCGGAUGCUGACGAGUGGCGAACGGGUGAGUAAUACAUCGGAACGUGCCUAGUAGUGGGGGAUAACUACUCGAAAGAGUGGCUAAUACCGCAUGAGAUCUACGGAUGAAAGCAGGGGAUCGCAAGACCUUGUGCUACUAGAGCGGCCGAUGGCAGAUUAGGGAGUUGGUGGGAUAAAAGCUUACCAAGCCGACGAUCUGUAGCUGGUCUGAGAGGACGACCAGCCAAACUGGGACGGAGACACGGCCCAGACUCCUACGGGAGGCAGCAGUGGGGAAUUUUGGACAAUGGGCGAAAGCCUGAUCCAGCAAUGCCGCGUGCAGGAUGAAGGCCUUCGGGUUGUAAACUGCUUUUGUACGGAACGAAAAGCCCUGGGUUAAUACCCUGGGGUCAUGACGGUACCGUAAGAAUAAGCACCGGCUAACUACGUGCCAGCAGCCGCCGUAA